CAGUCGCCGCGGGAAUACGAAGGGUGCAGGCGUUACUCGGAAUUACUGGGCGUAAAGCGUGCGUAGGUGGUGGUUUAAGUCCGUUGUGAAAGCCCUGGGCUCAACCUGGGAAUUGCAGUGGAUACUGGGUCACUAGAGUGUGGUAGAGGAUAGUGGAAUUUCCGGUGUAGCAGUGAAAUGCGUAGAGAUCGGAAGGAACAUCUGUGGCGAAGGCGACUAUCUGGGCCAACACUGACACUGAGGCACGAAAGCGUGGGGAGCAAACAGGAUUAGAUACCCCAGUAGUCCCUGUCUCUUAUAC
This 301-nucleotide ribosomal RNA is filed under the name uncultured bacterium. Its description in RNAcentral is "partial 16S ribosomal RNA". It matches the Rfam family "Bacterial small subunit ribosomal RNA", at positions 509 to 807 of the family's 1533-position model. The record is from RNAcentral.